CAUACAUAUUCACCCAACUUAAACAAUAUGCAAAUAAGUAUAAAAAAAACUACACAAACAAGUAGCAAAACAAUUUUUUUUAAACACUUGAAAUUAUCAGAUUUCAAAACUGAAGUAACAACAACACUUAGUACUCCAUUCCAUCCUCAUCCUCAUCCUCAUCCUCUCCACCAUCAUCAUCAGAGCUAGGAGGCGGAGAACAAGGAAGCUAAAUUAAGGUAUUUACUUGAGCCUUGAAUUCUUGGACAUCUGACUCAAGUGUCGUCCUACGUCGCUCCUCCUCCAUCCUUCUAUUUUGUUCCUCCUCGUACUUCCUAGCAAGCAAAUUCUUGUUGCAUCUCCUCAAGUUGCUUAUCUGGAAUGGUGGCGGAGCCCCCUAUACCUUGCAAUCCACACCGGAGGCGAUGAAAGUUCUUCUCAGAGCAAAGGUCAUACGCCCUUCUCUUAUACACGCCACCAAAUACAUCAUGGUUUGAUUGUCUUGAUAAUCUAUCGGCUGAUUCCUUUUGAUUUCCUCAAUUGCUUAAACAUAUUGAUUCUACAUUAAAAGUAAAUUAGUAUAUGAGAAAUGGUACAUGCUUGACAUAACGUGAAUUGUACGGUUAGUUAUUAGAGAAAGAGAACUGAAUGAUUUCAUUUACAUACCACAUAGUGUCAAGCAUAAAAUAUGCCUAACAUUGGCAAAAGGAAUAGAUCAACUCACAUAUAUAUGUACAGUUCAUGUUCUUACACGUGUAAAGACGACAACAAAACCUUUGAGCUAAGCGUCUGUAAGGGCCAAAACAGCCUAAACAAGAACUUUGCACAUAGGUACAAGUUUGGUAUAACGUGAAUUGUACAGUUAUUUAUAAAUUCAAUAACAUUUAAAAAACUAAAAGUUCUAGGCUCUAGCUAAAAACUGAUACUUGUAACUUCACUCGAACAAACAAAAAAUCCAAGCUCUACGUUAAAUCUGACAAGUUCUCAAAAGAUAUACUUCCUCUGCUGACACAACUAAAUAAUCCAUUUGACUCCUAAUCCCACAUCUUAAGACUCACCAAACACAUAAUUGAAUGCCGUACUUGGAUAUUUAACAAGUCCAAACGAAACCAAAGCAUAAACUUUCACAAACAACAGCAAACUGCAAACCACAAGAUACACUUUUCAAGAAGUUUAAGUUUACUACAUAACUUCCAUACUUCCAAAGAAAGGUUCUCUAUACUCGACACUACUUGCCUAUAUUUUUCUCAAUGAGUGAUGCUACUUGUUUAAGCCAGGGCCGGCUGAACAAUGUAAUGUAAAAGCUAUUGCCUUAGGCCCCCAAAUUUGGGGGGGCCAUUUUCUUGUAAUUAUGAACCAGAUUUAAAAUAAAAAAUAAAAAAAAAUUACUACUUACAUUAUUAUGUAAAAUAAAGGAAUAAGACUUUUUGGAGGAGAAAUAAAAUAUAGCUUAAAAAGGAAAUUUUGAUGGACAAGUGAUUUGAUUCAUCAAUGACAAUACUUUUUACUUUCUUCAUAAAAAAAAAAAAGAAAUGUUGGCCUUUUUGCUUUUUAACUUGACAUUUUUAAAUCUUUUUUCUCAAUUUUCCUAUCUUACUCUCACUCUCUCUAUUCUUAGGGGUCGUUUGGUGUGAGGUACUAAGGUAAAUUAUUUUGGGAUAAAAAAAUAAUUUCGAGAUAAACUUUUUUAUACAUUGUUUGGUUGGCAAUACUUGGGACAACUUAUCCCAGGAUUAAUAAUAAUCCCAGGAUAAGUUAUACCACAUAUUUGGUGGUAUAAGUUAUCCCAAGUUAAUUUAUCCUUGGAUAAAAUUAUAAAUGAUAAAAAUACCCCCAAACCCUUUUCUUUCCACUUUCUCAUAUAUAUAUAUAUAAAACCUUAUAUAAGUGUACGCACCUCGCGCGUGUACCUCACUAUAAUGAAUUUAAACGAUACACUAAAUACGAUAUUUAUUCAAAUAGUAAGAGAAUUUAUUUAAUUAGAUAUAUAGUAGUUGUAAAUAUUAAAGAUACAAAUGAGGUAGGUGUAAAAUAUAUUGACAACCNNNNNNNNNNNNNNNNNNNNNNNNNNNNNNNNNNNNNNNNNNNNNNNNNNNNNNNNNNNNNNNNNNNNNNNNNNNNNNNNNNNNNNNNNNNNNNNNNNNNNNNNNNNNNNNNNNNNNNNNNNNNNNNNNNNNNNNNNNNNNNNNNNNNNNNNNNNNNNNNNNNNNNNNNNNNNNNNNNNNNNNNNNNNNNNNNNNNNAUUUAAGAACAAAAAUAAAUAUAUCUUGUUCCAUAUGUUCAUAUUAGAUAUUAUUGUAUUUUUCUAAAAGAAUUCUCAAUUUCUAGAAGUUCAAAACUUUUUUCUUCAAUAAAGAAAUUAUAUAAAUAUGAUUGAUUUUUACUUUUUUCAUUAAUUAUUUAUCAAUAAUAGAAUAUUUUAAAUUUCAAAUAAACUAAACUAACACAAAUAAGAGUGAUCUUUUUAACCCUUUUUAAUUUUUGAUAGAUUUUUAUUUUCCUUUUAUUUAAUACAAAAUAGAGUUCAUCUUUUUUAAAAAAAAAUAUACGUAGGCCUAAAAAAGAGGGGGAGGGGGAAAUUCGAUUUUAGUUGGGUUUGAAGUCCUAAAAUUAAUUAAAUAUUAUUAGGUAAAUAGUAAAAAGACACUUUUAUCUAAAGAACAAUCUUUUAACGAAGGGCAAAAAGUUCAAAUCACUUUUCUAAGGGUCUUCACACUUUUAAUAUAUUAUAGAUAUAGAUUAUAGAUCAUAAAUUAUAAAUUAUAGAUAUAGAUUAUAUUGCUUAUAGAAUAAUGUUAACAAUUCCUGUAACAGUCGCUUCCGCGGAAAGAAGCUUUUCAAAAUUAAAAAUUAAAAUCUUAUUUAAGAUCAACAAUGUCUCAAGAAAGAUUAAGUGGAUUGGCUAUAUUAUCAAUUGAAAAAGAAUUGUUAAAAGAAAUCGAUUAUAAAAAAAUUAUUAACGACUUUACAUCUCAAAAAACUAGAAAAAUAGAUUUUAAAUAAAAAAUAUAAAUUUUUAAUUUUAAUUUAAGGCCUCCGAUUUUAAUUUGGCAUAACAUUCCCAGUGGACCCCACUAGGGAAGGUAGAGUGUACACAGACCUUACCUUUACCUCGUGGAGGUAGAAAGGUUAUUUCCGAAUGAGAACCUGGAGGAUUACUAAACCAGUGUUACAUGACCGUACACAGUGGAGGGUUUCAGUAUCAGACCUGCAGCUACCCAGGCACCACAAAGAUAGAAUUUACACCCUCCCUGCACUCAAGCUAAACCAUAUGGCUAAAUAUUGAACUCUUGUUCAUUAAUCAUCCUGAUAUAAUCUUAGGAGAACCGCACCCCAAAAGCUGCUAGCUAUUGAGGUGAGAGAGUCCUAGGCUAUCUAAGCCCCACAUCAGUUCCCUAUUUAAUCGAUAUGAGACUGAAGCCCCAUUCCUUGCAAUAAUAUUGUAACACAUCCAAACCAAGAUAAAGUCGUCCCUUUUCUAAUAUUCUACACCGCAUUUGGGAAGACGAAGUCAUAUAAGUCAACUGAAUACAAAUGGAAGGAAGAUCCAUCUGUUGGUUAAGUCUUUCAUUCUCAAGAGUUUUGAGGACAAGGGGGCGCCUAAGAUUACAAAACUCAAUGUUGGACAGCAUCAUAGUUUAGGAGAAAGGUCUCGAGCGUUCAGAACUAUGCAAGAGCAGAUCGUUGUUCCUUGCAACAGUAUAUCAAAAAGCCUAAAACCAUGAAGGGGAAAGGAAGAAGUAUCGACCAUACACUAGCUUUGGGAAGAAAAAAAAACUGAAACAUCUUUUCCCUUUUCCUACUUGAUUCAGGCCUGCACCAAACAUUAAAUAGUAUCCAAGACCAUCAAUUAUUUUAAGAAAAACACAUUUUAAGCAACUGAUUUAGAACAAAAGUCCUUAUAAUCUGUUUUGUCCAGUUUUUGCUAAAUAAGAUACCUAAAUCAAACAAACAAAAUAGUAUUUAGACAGAGAUGGUUUCCAAAUGAACAAAUGAGGGAACGUUUUAAACAAACUAAAAAAAACUGUCCAAUGACAUUUUGAGAGCAACACAUAGAUUAUACAACCAUUUUUUUGCAAAGUUUAAAGGAGUAAAAAUGACUUAAAGUCCCAAAACGCAGCAAUGUAGUAAUGAAAGAAAACUCAUGAUAGACGUCUAUUAGUCGUGAAGAAAUCGUGCAGCCCCCCUUGUAACAAACAAGACAGGACGAAUGAUGAACAAGGCAAGAUGAGACGAUUCAAGUACUCCUCCUAGAACUCAAUCUACAAACAUAACAACAAGGGCACAAAAAGUGAACUGGACAGUAAAAUUUUCAAAGCAGAAUACUGUCCUAUGCUUUCACAAACUUACGUUUUGACGACACAUAAAAAUAAAGCAGCCCCAUAUAUUAAAAGAACAUAAAUUUAAAACGAAACCAUACUCAUAAAGUCGAUUCGCGGAAAAUGAGCAACAAUACCAUAACCACAUUGGAAACUUGUUUUGGGAAGCAAAAUAAUGCACAACCAUAUUUGAAAUGAAUCACAAGUGCAAGAAAGGUGUCAGUUGCUGGUUUUUUUUUAGGAAAAUGCUAAUUUAGGGCUCAAACAAACUAACAAAGUACUAAUCCAACAUAUCUUCUAGCUAAAACUGUGAACUAAGCGAGAUCAUAUCUCUUAAAAUUCUAGUUCUUGGUGGUUCCGACUAGUAUGGACAACUGGUUAUUUCACAGUAAGCAACACACAUCACAUGUUUGCACAAUCUGGACUCAAUGACACCAACUUAUUGGGACAAGUUAAGAUGAGACCAUAAUAAAAAAUACCCAAAAAAAAAUUAUUGAGAAAAUAAGACAAAAGACACGUAAUUAAUCAAUCAGCAAGGUGAAAGGUACCGUUAAUGUGAAAAGAACAGUCUCAGUUAGAAAGGAGAAGUUAUCGAAAUCCAUCCAAAGACCAGCA
This 4913-nucleotide long non-coding RNA is filed under the name Capsicum annuum. RNAcentral's name for it is "long non-coding RNA (CANN_LNC018334)". Lineage: Eukaryota; Viridiplantae; Streptophyta; Magnoliopsida; Solanales; Solanaceae. The record is from RNAcentral.